Alnus glutinosa is the source of this 1534-nucleotide RNA transcript. RefSeq lists it as uncharacterized. NCBI's taxonomy places the organism in Eukaryota, Viridiplantae, Streptophyta, Magnoliopsida, Fagales, Betulaceae. The record is from RefSeq and is a predicted model, not a curated record. The transcript is spliced from 6 exons.
UUAUAAGCACUUGAUUUUAUCGCGUCCAAACACCAGUCGGUAAAACAAUUCAAACUGGAUCCGAUUCCGAUUUUGCUGUUGAAAGGAAAAGCACCAAAAAUGGCAUUAUACGGGUAACGGGUCCCCCCUUAAAUCCAGACCCAAAAUUGGGUGUCGAUCAGUGAUUAGGCGAAAAUCGCUGACGAAACGGUUACAAAGGUCCGCGAAACACAAGCACACACGCACGCACGUUGUGUGUUGUGCGAUGACAUUCAUAUGACGAUGCAAGUUGCUCGGUCGCCGACAGACAAAAGCCACCACCACUCGGAGGAGUCGGAGUAGCUGAAUGUGAGGUGAGUUUGUCGAUCUUUUGAGUGUUCAGUAGGGUUUUGAAUUGAGUAUGGAAGACGUAUCAGAGAGGUCAGAGCUGCGCAGAAUGCAAAGGGAGCAAGAAAGAGAAAGGCGCCGAAUGCGUGACAGGGAAAGAAGACAGUCAAUGACUCUUGAGCAGAGGGAGAAACAUCUUGCUAGGCGUCGUAGAAACUAUCAAUUGAGAAGAAUAAGAGCUGAAAGUGCGAGAUCAGGCUCUCAAACUGGACAAACAAGUAUGGUGACUGGAGGUGAAACCAUCACCGGUGAUGACCAUCCAGCAGUAACUUCUGUUUCAGGACUUAGUGUCAAGUGUAAUGGUAUUACUCAUGUUGGAAUUAAUCAAGGCGAAGAAAAGCUAGAUGUGGAAUGCUUAGAGUCUGAGGUUUUGCAAGCUUUGGUCCACAAAUCAACUAAUUUCCCAGGAAGGUUACGACUAAGUCAUAUAAGACAUCUUGCAAGAUCAUUAAAUAAUUCUAUAGAUGGGCCUGCUGGCAAUUACCAAAUGGUGGCAACACUCAUAACCAAGGAGGAUGCUGCUAGUAACUGUUUGCAAGUUGGAGACUCUGAUUCUUGUAGAUCACCGCAGAGUUUACGUUUAAAUCGUGUUAAGCGUCUUGCUCGUACAUUAAACAAUUCAGCAAAUGCUGCUAUGAAAGAGGCUACCGGUCAAACCACCGAAGUGGCAAAGAAGGAUGAACAUCUAUCAUUGGCUAUUGAAGAGAGGGGAAACCUUUAACUUGGUCACAUGUGAGAAAUGAAGUUUGCUUAGCUUUUCUUAGAAGGUUCAAGACUGAAUAUACGACGGAGAAAACGAAAAGGAAUUACUUCAUGGGCAUGGAUUAACUGUUGGACAAGGCUGUGUGAUGUUUAGAAUUACAUGACCGUAGGAAUAACCAGAGAGACUGAAGCUUGAUACUGCCAUUCAGCAGCUAGGUGAAUUGUGUCGGCGCCUUUUAAUUAACAAUUCUUUUAGGAUUUUCCCAAGCAUUGAUUACACACAUUUACUUGUAUGCAAAUGUUUAAUUGGUUUUCUGGGUUAGUUGUUGCUCGAUGAUUUUCUGUUGAGUUUAGUUGGUAUGAAGAUUAAGCUUGAGUACUAUUUCGGAAAUUCAAUUGGUUUUCGGUAAGCAAUUAAUAUAUUCCAUGUAAACAGUUUUUUUUAAUUUAUUUAUUUUUAUUUUUA